GAUGAAGAACGUAGUGAAAUGCGAUAAGUAAUGUGAAUUGCAGAAUUCAGUGAGUCAUCGAAUCUUUGAACGCACCUUGCGCCCUUUGGCCAUUCCGAAGGGCAUGCCUGUUUGAGUAUCAUGAACACCUCAACUCUCAUGGCUCGCCAUGAUGAGCUUGGACUUUGGGGGUCUUGCUGGCCUGUGGUCGGCUCCUCUCAAAUGGAUCAGCUUGCCAGUGUUUGGUGGCAUCACAGGUGUGAUAACUAUCUGCGCUUGUGGUUUUCCAUCAGAUAACCUUCAGUGAUGGAGGUUCGCUGGAGCUCAUAAACGUCUCCCCUAAGCGGGGACAGCCCUUUGAAUGUUUGAUCUCAAAUCAGGUAGGACUACCCGCUGAACUUAAGCAUAUCAAUAAGCGGAGGA
Molecule: unclassified non-coding RNA, 402 nt
Filed under: soil metagenome
Description: partial contains 5.8S ribosomal RNA, internal transcribed spacer 2, and large subunit ribosomal RNA
Rfam family: 5.8S ribosomal RNA (bases 1-121)
Source: RNAcentral